UACGUAGGGGGCAAGCGUUGUCCGGAUUUAUUGGGCGUAAAGGGCGCGUAGGCGGCGUGGUAAGUCACUUGUGAAAUCUCUGAGCUUAACUCAGAACGGCCAAGUGAUACUGCUGUGCUAGAGUGCAGAAGGGGCAAUCGGAAUUCUUGGUGUAGCGGUGAAAUGCGUAGAUAUCAAGAGGAACACCUGAGGUGAAGACGGGUUGCUGGGCUGACACUGACGCUGAGGCGCGAAAGCCAGGGGAGCAAACGGG
This 253-nucleotide ribosomal RNA is filed under the name uncultured bacterium. RNAcentral's name for it is "partial 16S ribosomal RNA". It matches the Rfam family "Bacterial small subunit ribosomal RNA", at positions 524 to 776 of the family's 1533-position model. The record is from RNAcentral.